UAGGGAAUAUUGCAAAAUGGGCGAAAGCCCGAUGCAGCAACGCCGCGUGGGCGAUGAAGGCCUUCGGGUCGUAAAGCCCUUUUUGAGGGGAUGAGGAAGGACAGUACCCUCAGAAUAAGCCUCGGCUAACUACGUGCCAGCAGCCGCGGUAAAACGUAGGAGGCGAGCGUUAUCCGGAUUUACUGGGCGUAAAGCGCGUGCAGGCGGAUUGGAGAGUUGGAUGUGAAAGCUCCCGGCUUAACUGGGAGAGGUCGUUCAAUACUUCCAGUCUUGAGUGCAGUAGAGGGCAGUGGAAUUCCGGGUGUAGUGGUGAAAUGCGUAGAUAUCCGGAGGAACACCAGUGGCGAAAGCGGCUUCCUGGACUGUAACUGACGCUCAGACGCGAAAGCUAGGGUAACAAACG
This 403-nucleotide ribosomal RNA is filed under the name uncultured bacterium. Its description in RNAcentral is "bacterial SSU rRNA". It matches the Rfam family "Bacterial small subunit ribosomal RNA", at positions 355 to 774 of the family's 1533-position model. The record is from RNAcentral.